AACCCAAACUAAUAUUCACCGGCGUAAAAUGUGUUUAAGAUUCUCGAACAAUAAAGUUCAACCAAAACUAGGCCGUAAAAUGCUACAGCCAAAAUAAAGACCCCAACGAAAGUGACUUUAGCAGAUCCGAAUACACAAUAGCUAGGACCCAAACUGGGAUUAGAUACCCCACUAUGCCUAGCCCUAAACCAAGACAUUUAACCAGAACCAAAAUGUUUGCCAGAGUACUACUAGCAAUAGCUUGAAACUCAAAGGACUUGACGGUGCUUCACAUCCCUCUAGAGGAACCUGUCCUAUAAUCGACAAACCCCGAUAAACCUCACCACCCCUUGCCAAU
This 337-nucleotide ribosomal RNA is filed under the name Bradypus tridactylus (Pale-throated sloth). RNAcentral describes it as "partial 12S ribosomal RNA". It matches the Rfam family "Bacterial small subunit ribosomal RNA", at positions 537 to 988 of the family's 1533-position model. The record is from RNAcentral. Lineage: Eukaryota; Metazoa; Chordata; Mammalia; Pilosa; Bradypodidae.